UUUGUAGGGGAUAUGAACAUCGGGCCAAUUUCAAAAUGCAGGCAAUCCUCAUUUUCCAUCUUUAACCAGUCUGGUUGCUGAUCCAUAUCUUCCAACCAAAAGUUCAUAUUUUUAAUAUUCACUGCCCAAAAGUAAA
Long non-coding RNA from Amblyraja radiata (thorny skate), 136 nucleotides. RefSeq lists it as uncharacterized. The transcript is spliced from 3 exons. The record is from RefSeq and is a predicted model, not a curated record. Lineage: Eukaryota; Metazoa; Chordata; Chondrichthyes; Rajiformes; Rajidae.